AUUAAGAACAAUAAUGGACCCAUGUUUCGAAUGGUGGUGCUAUAUGGGGUACCUUGGGUGUUUUGCUUGGAGUGGUCGAAUUCGAGGACGAAUUCUUUUUAAGGGGGGUAGAGUGUAAUAUCCCAAAAAAAUAUUGACCAAAAGUUGAUCUUCGGUGCGUGGAUGAGGGAAAGAGUUGUGGGCCGUUGGAUGCAAAGUCAGGAGACAUCUGAGGCGUCGUUUCUUUCUCCCACAAAACCCUAGUGGUCGCCCCCUCCCUUUUUCCCUUUUCUUGGCCGCCAACACCCCCUUUUCCCCACCAUUGGCCGCCCCUCCCCCUUCCCCUUACAGCCGCCCUCCACUGCUUCCUCCUCCCUCUAGAUCUCCCCCCACGCAGCAAGGAUCGAGAUGAGGAGGAGCAAGAUGGAUUGAAAAGGAAGAGAGGAUCAAGGAGAUGUUCUACCCCCAUCUCUUGCAGAUUUUCUUGGGGAAACCCUAGGUAAGGAUGGGAUCCUUGUUCCUCCCUAUAAUUAUGUGCUUUUGGAGGUUGUGGAUCAUGUGGAUUGAAGGAUUAGAGGUUGGAUUAGAUGUGGGGUUAGGUUUUGAUCUCGAAUUUAAUUUCUGCAGAAUGGCAGAUUCGACAGUUUCUGUUCAUGCCAGUUUUCCGUGGUCUUAGUGGCCUCAAAAAAAUAAAAAGUCUAUAUAUGAGUCGUAGAUAAUUUAUAGAUCUUUCUGUGGACGCGAAGAACACCAGAACAGAAAGUUAUUGCAGUUUGAUUAUAGCAGUUUUUUAGUCUCAUAAUUCUGUGCAGAAUCUGUUCUCUUAAGAGUUAGGCAAUUUUAUCAACAGAAUUAAAAUGUGGGUUGGUAAAAGAAGUUGUAGAUAAUUUCAUAAGCUUUCCAGAUUGUUAAAGAGUGCAUUCAUAUGAUUUAUGAAACUCCAGUUAUGUUUGUUUUACUGUGGCUGUUACUGUUUGCCUGACAAAAAUGAGCGGGUCUGUUCACUGAUGGGUUUCAUCUAGUAAAUGGCCGAAUUGGCUCUUCCAACUAUGGAGACUUUUGUAGAGGGAUAAAAGUUCUUACUGUCAGCAGAAUUUAAUAAUUUUUGGUUUAGUAGUUUGGGAGAUAUCGAAUUUUGAAGUUAACUAGGCUGCUGUCUAAAACAGAUUCAGUCAGUUAUCUUGUCAGAUUUUUAGAACUUAUUGAUGGCAGAAUUUAAUUAUCCAUUCAAUACCGAAGUUGUAGAGUGUUUUGUGUAGAUACUCCUAGAGUAUUUUUUGAUAUCACCACGGUUUUAAUUUUAAAGAUACAAAAUUAACAAACAGUGUUGCUGCUGUAUGGCAUGUGGUUCAGGGUGGGAGUCUUUCCACUGGGUCUUGGUUUCAAGUGUAGGAGUGUUUUGUUGAUCGUUGGCAAAUGUUUGUGAAAUAUUUGUACUAAGUUUUAUGCCCACUAGCAGGUGGCUACACUCCAGAUCAUGCCUAGUACAUUUUUCUUCUUCGAUGCAAAAAUCAUAAACCCCACAGUUUCUGUAAUGUUUUACAGAGUUUUGAAUUAAAUAAGAAAACUGCCCAAAGUUCAUUAAUAAAGGGAAAAAUAGAAAUAUUGUUAGACCAGGGUUAAGAAAAAUAGUGGAGACCCUAACCUAGUGGUUAUCCUGUUUAAAAUUAAUAAACACCCCAGUAUACAAGGUUAAGGAGGAUUUAUUCACUAAAUCUUGUUUAUGCUCAAACUUAGGAAAAUUAAGAAAAGGAAUUAAAAAUGAAAACCAGAGGGCAACCAUAUUUUUCCUAGCAUGCCUAAGUUAUGUAGUUCACAAGAAAAAUCCAUUGAACCAUAGUCCAGUGAGAGGAAAUUGUAAUCACAAUUAUUCAUGAAAACUGAGAAAACUUUGAAAAAUCAUAAGAAAAUAAUCUUAAGGAGAAAACACCCCUACCUUAGGAAUAACUAUUCUUGUGCUAAGAGGAACCUAGGAAAAAUACAAGUUCUGUUGUCUGAUAUUUUUCAAAUAACAAGUUAGUUAUAAGUGUCUUUUUAGCAUUAAACAUUAGAAAAUCACAACUAAAUAACCACCAAAUAUCCUUCUGUGAUUUUUGGCACAGAGGCAUGUUAUUACUUUUAGAUACCAGCAACAAUGACCCUAAGGAUAGAACCCACCCUAGUUAAGAGUUGUAGUGCAAAGUGACCCCCUUUGCCCCAACUUUUGUUAUUUUUGUCCAGGGCAUACUCUAUUUAAAUUGGACCUCAAAUUUAUAGGGCAGACUACAAUAACAAAUAGUAACCCUCUGUAAUUUUUAUAGAAUUUUUGGAAAAAGUUAAAUCACUGAUGUAGUUCCAACCCACACUAGAAUUCAUAAAUAGAAAAUGAAAAAGGGAAAUUAACAAUGGAGAUUAAUGUCAUCAUAACCCAACCAGCAAAACCCCCCUAAAUGCCUACUAAAACAUCUAAGGGAAAUCCAAGCUUCAAUCCACUAUGCUUAUCCCUAGGCAAAACCCGAACCUAAAGUUGAUAAGCAUAAACCACUAAGAGCCACGUAUAACCAAGAAACCCUAAGUUACUAACCAGCUUAGUUUUCUUUCACUUAGCAUAAUGUUUACUAAAUCAUGCAUAAUCAUGGCAUACAUAUUCUCAUUCAUUGCAUUCGAUUGAUUGCAACCUCGCUGACGGAGAGUACGUCCUCGUGGCGGAGCAAGGAGUUGCUCAAGAGGUAGCCCCGGAUCCAGCAACAGAGCCUGCCCCAGAGGAUCUACCUGACCUAGCUUUGGAAGGCAAGCCCCGGUUUUAUGUAUAACCAAUUAUAUUAUGCUAUUUUACUACACUUAAUGUUUGUAGGCUUGUAUUGUGCACUUAAGUAUAGGAGUUGAUUAAAACCCUAGUUGCAUGAACUCAGUAAUCCUUGUUGAGAUGAAUACUAAUAUGCUAGGUUGAGUAGCUGCUUUACUAAUUAGGAUCUCGGUAGAAGUCGAGUGAUUUUUCUAGCACUCGCGCGAGGUCAGGACAUUGAUUGUACCCACUUUCAUAUCAUACUGAUGUUGGUCUGUGGACACGGAUCCAUGAGGAUGCGUGGUCUACGAGAUAAAAUUUGAAUAAGGAUUAAUGUGUGGAUACCUGUGUCAAGCGAUUGAACGUACUAAGCACAUGCAGAGAAAUAUGGUAAAUCGGUAAGCCUAGUACCUGAGUGAACCUGGCAGUGGACAUAUCCCCUCACACGACCUGAGACGUGGUCUCCCAUUCCGGUUAUGGUGGGUACAAGUGCGGUCACUGCACGAUGGCAGUCGAGGUCAGUGAGGCAUUGUACGCCAAGGCGGUGAGCCCUGAUCUGCUGACGGGGAAUCGAUGGGGACAGUUGAUGUGUGUGGGGACGGAGUGCCUCGCCACUUCGUGUGUUUAGGUUUACCUUGCAAGGUUUAAAAACUCGAUUCGAAUCGUCUGCUUCUCACAGCUAAUGAGACUGCUUGAUCCAUUGUACUGCAUCGAGUAACAAGUGGAAAUGUGAUGAUGUGGCAAAAGAUGUUGAUUGCUAAAUAUGCUUGAUACCAUGAAUGAGUAGAUAGUACACAUUUAGUCUUAAGAGAGUCACACUUAAACUUGAUAAAGCUAAAACUUGAUUUUUAGACUCAGCUAGUGCUUUUGGCAACCAAACCCCUCAGCCAAACAGCUGCAUGUCUAGAGGUAGAGGAGUAGACUCCUCACACCGGGUAAGUCUAGCUGAGUAUUAGUAUACUCAGCCUUGCUUGUGGCAUAAUUUUACAGGUUCUCUGGAGGACAUGGUUGCUGGAGUGACUUGGCCGUCCAUCUUGCCACGGGGUUGGACAGUCGAGUGGGACCCUACCUCGGCUGAGGAGGAGCAUGAGGAGUGAUGGGACAGGCUUCCCCAUCUCUCUGUAUAUUUACCGUUAGUUUUAUUCCGCUGCACUUCGAAUAAUGAUGACUACUUUUGCUAAAACUCCGAUGAUGAUGUAAUAAGUUUAAUACUCCU
RNAcentral lists this long non-coding RNA (3959 nucleotides) under Zea mays. RNAcentral's name for it is "long non-coding RNA (ZMAY_LNC001643)". The record is from RNAcentral. Lineage: Eukaryota; Viridiplantae; Streptophyta; Magnoliopsida; Poales; Poaceae.